GUAAAGUAUUUAGAGCUUCUAAUUCCACUUUUCCUUAAGGGAGGAUGAACUCUGUAGCAAUUACCUUGUGACUUCUGAGGAUCACCUUUGGAAGGCUUGGUGUUACGAACAUUGGGAUAAGAAUUUUACAAAACAUCAAAAAGAUUAUAAUAUUAAGAGCAGAAGCCUUGAUUUAUUUAUCAAAGAAACCCCAGUAAUUAACACAGUCUGACUUUAAAGGACCUCUUUCAAAUCAUCAGCACCUUCAGAAUUUUUCUUCUGAGCCAUAGAGAACAAAAAUUGUGAAUUAGCACUUUCUCUAACCUUAUUAAAGAAGAGCACAGGCAGCAGUGAUCCAUACACUCAGGUAAGAUUCCAGUCUCAGUGUGUAGGGAACACACUAAACACCAGUUGUUUCCUGGACUGGCUAAUGUUCUCCAGUUUCUCUUCUGUCCUGGUU
Molecule: long non-coding RNA, 439 nt
Filed under: Sus scrofa (pig)
Lineage: Eukaryota; Metazoa; Chordata; Mammalia; Artiodactyla; Suidae
Description: lncRNA (ENSSSCG00055025705.1)
Source: RNAcentral